RNAcentral lists this long non-coding RNA (25703 nucleotides) under Capsicum annuum. Its description in RNAcentral is "long non-coding RNA (CANN_LNC001823)". Lineage: Eukaryota; Viridiplantae; Streptophyta; Magnoliopsida; Solanales; Solanaceae. The record is from RNAcentral.
CUAAAAAGAAAAGUAGGUCAUUCUUGUUUAAAUGGGGGGAGUAUUUGUUUUUACUUUUUUUUAAAAAAAAAUUGGAUAAAAAUAUAUCCACAUUCCAUGGAGAGUCGGAGACCCAAGUAGCAUACUCUCUCCGUUUCAUAUAAGUUGGCCCCUUUGGACUUGACACACUUAUUAAGAAAAUAUUAAUUAGGAGAUUUAUUUUACCAAAUUAACCUUAUUAAUUAUGUUUUGAAAAUAUAAAUUUAAGUAAAUACACUUUGUUUAGUCAUUUAAUGUUAAGAGUAAUAUUGAAAGAAUAUAAUAAAAUUUUCUUGAUUUCAUAAAAAAAUAACUAAAUUAAAAUAAAUAUUUUUAAAAAAAGGAUCAACCAAACUGAAACGGAGGAAAUUACGUAGUUAGUAGGAGACCCAAGGGCCUUAUAAAUGUUAGUUUGAGUUUUUUGCCCUCUUUUAUUAUUCAUGAUUUUAUAAUUUUUAGUCUUGAAUGAAAAGAUGUAGGGCAUAAAAGAUGAUUCCACUAGUGUCGAUAUUGUUGAAGUGUAUGGAAAAAGAGAAACAUGAGAGGCUUUGAGAGAUAGAGUAGAGCUUUUCUCGAUAAAGGAGUAGUCUUUACGUUACUUUAAAUUGGGUGCUACACAUAUUUGCACUUGAUGCCCUCAAUCAAUGCAAUGCUGUAUUCUGAACGUCGGCAACUGUAAAUUUUGCUCACUUUUUUAUGUAAUUUUUUAAUGUGGUUUGCACUGUCUAUCUUAACUGCUGCUUGUGAUACAGUAUUAGAAAUAAGGGAUCUUGCAAUUGAGAUAUGAAACAAUAGCAGUGUUCAUGGUUUGGUUAAAAAUUAUAUCUAAUUAAAAGUUAAAUUAAAUUUAUUAAAAAAAUUGAUAUUUAAUUAGGUUUGAUUUGAAAUUUUAAAAAUUAUAUUUAUGUGGUUUGAUUUUAAUUUUACUCCGAAAUAACCAACAAAAAAAUCAAACCAAAUCGAUAUAUAUAUAUAUAUAAACACAAUUCAUGAAUAAAAGUAUAAAUAUUUGAUACAUUUUAAAUUUUAAUCAGGAUUUAACUUUCGCCGUAAUACUUUCAGUCAUAUGGGUCAUAUGUCUCCAUCUAGUUGACAGUAUGCUAUGAGAUUCUAAAUUAUUUUCGCACUUUAAAUGAUAAAUGAUACUAAUUAUGAAUAUUAUCUUGUUGUUUAUGAAGUUUUACAGAUGAGUUUCAUUCAACUAUAGAUAAUCACUAGUUUUGAACUUUAUUUUUGAUCCCUAUUGGGCAAAAAAUUUAUGUGUUCACAUUUUGGGGGGUUUAUCAUAUUAUUCUCUUAUAUUUAGUUUCUAAAUAUUUUUUGUAGAAGCGUUCAUACGAUAUUGUUCGUAGUGAAUUGACAUCUUAGUUUUAAGGUUGAGGCACAACACUCAGUUGACAUCUCAUAUGUUGGAUUGCAUUUGUUUUUUUUUAAAAAAAAAUUUCAACUUUUAUCAUUAGCUAAAGUUAUAAACCAAAAAAAUCAAACCAAACCGAACUAAACCGACAAGAACCAAAUAGACAGUUAUUUUUUUGUGUUGGUUAGAUUUGAUUUUAGAAAUUUAAAAACCGACUAAAUUAGUUUGGUUAUGAUUUUGACCAAUAACCGAUCCAAACCAAACCAUGAACACCCCUAUGAAAGACCUGCAUUCAAGUUUUAAAUAAUAUAAUUUUUGUUGGGAUACAUACCAUUAGGGGUGUUAAAAUAAACUCAAAUUGAGUUGAUUCGCCCAACUCUUCCAAUAUUUAAUGGGUUUGAUUCAAGAUAAUUUACUAUUGGGAAAAUUUAAACUCAUUAAGACUCAACUCAUUUUUAAAUUGGGUUCAAAUGAGCCCAAUUCAAUCUUUACUUCAACUCGUUUGAUAGAAAAAUGAUUUUCUUAAUGAAAAUAGGAAAAACAAGCGACAAUGUGUUAUCCCACUCUCAAAAUGACCCAUCUCACAUCACCCUAACUCCACUACACCCCCAACUUACCCCACCCCUACCCUCCUCUGUUAAAUAAAUUAUUUUUAUUUAUAAAAAAACUUCUUAUAAAUUUUUUUCUUGCCCCUUCCCCACAUGACAUGACGUUAUAUAUAUUUAGGAUUUUUAUCAAUUCAUUAUCGUUCUUAACAUUUUACAAUCACCCGCACACGUGCACGACAUAACGUUAUAUAUAUAUAUAUAUUACAGUAUUUUUAAAUUAAUUAUAUUUUAAUAAUUUUAAUAUUCCUUACAUUUUUUUCAUUCUAGAUCUAUAUUUUACAGUAAGCAAACGCUGAGUCGGAUCAAUUAUUUUUGUGCAGUAUAAUAAUUUGAUGUCUUAUCACAUCUGAUAACGACUACACAAUAAUGUCUUAUCACGUCCGACAAUAACUACUCAGUGUUUUCUUAUCAUAUCUGACAAUGACCACUCAAUGACACUACCCUUUGAAUAAUUACUUUGUCCGUUGGUCAAAAGGAUGAAAGUCCUUUGGUCAAUAACUUAAGGACCUAAGGGUGUCCUAUUAUGAAAAGAGAGGACAUCCUUUUAUCUAUUGGAUAAAAGGGGUGCUCAAUUUUUUGUAUAAAUAGGUGGUGAAAGGACACAUUUUUUACACACAUUUUUUUGUUCAUUUCUUCUUCUCUUUCAAAAUACACAUAUAUUUAUUUUUUUACAACUCAUAAAUAUUUUUCUUUUGCAAACCCACACACAUAUUCAUAAAUACACAAGCAUAUUUUAUUUAUUUCAUUUUUCUAUUUUGUUCUUCAAAACACUCCAACGGAUACAUUACACAACAACCUCUAUUUUUGACAUUUUUCUUCACAAAAUAAAUAGCUAUACUAUUAUCCAUUCACAGACAGACCAUGAACAUAGAACAAUACUCUGACAUAUUACAAAAUACACAGAACCCAAUUUUUUCUUUUUUUCUUUCUUCUUCAUCCAAAAGGCACAUACACACACACUUGAGCGAUAAUCUCCAUUUUUCUUUUACAAAAUACACACACUACAAAAAUGACAACACACACAAUCAUCAUUUUCAUCUCUUUCUCCCUCACAAUUCUCUCUUUUUCCUUCAUUGUUCGAGAUCCAGGCGAGCGUCCAAACAACACCAACCCCGCCGCUUCUCAGAUCUGCCUCCACCAUCCACCCUCCGCUACAACAAUCCACUGCUCCGACGAGCACCGCUCCUAACACCAACAAAACAGCAUCGCGACAGCCUCCCUUUCUUCCCCUUUCGCUUUUUACCAUAAAAAACUGGCCAGAUCUGGCCGUACUCCCAUUUUUCGGCGUUGCUCCGACGAUUACCGUCGAAGGAACGCUAAUCUUUGUCUCAUACUAUAGAUUUAUUUGGUAGUAUGUUUAUUUUACAGAUAUGGGUCAUUUAUGGUGCUAACAUUUUUUUUUCUACUUUGGAUCCUUAAUACUUUGGAUAUUUGGAUUGACUGUGUUUGUUGACAUAUUUGAAGAAUUUAACAACCAUUAUAUGGUCAAAAGUUGUUGCUAUACUCCUUUGUUAUUCUUUAUGGGUUGUCUUGUUGAGAUUAAUUUAUGCAGGUGAUUUUACUCCGUUACUGUGCGGUUAUUUUUGGACUGAUUUGAACAUUUGUCCUUUCCUUUUGCCUUUAAUUUAUUACAUUGAUAAUGAACAGAUACUAACAGAAUUUUAUGGCCAAUGAAAAAUUACUUUAAUUUGAGGCCUCCGUAAAUAAAAGACGGAUUAUUAAGUAUACAUAUAAGUAAUAAAAAUUAUUUUUUGGGCAAUGAUGACACUUUACAACAAUAUAUGAUUUUACAAUUCAUAUUUUGGUAAGACGAUUUAGAAUGGCCAAUUAAUUGAGCUACCACUUCGUAGUAAAACGAUUUAGGACGGCCAAUUAAUUGAGCAACCAUUUCGCAGCCAUGACUUUAUCUGAGCCUACUUUUAACAAAAAAAUAUAUUUUUUAUAAUACGUAAAUGAACAUAUUUUUAUUUAUUAUUAUUUAUUUGUUACUAACAUUUUUAUAAGUAUUUAUACAGGUUAUUUUGGAAUAUUCGUUGAGAGUUGCAUUCAAAGAGGCCCUUUUAAUUUUGUAUUGUAUUUUUAUAUUUGUACAAAUAUUAUUAUAGUGAAAACUUUAUUUUUGGGGUAUUGGGCGGAAUUUUCUUUAUACAACUUCACCUCGCGUUUAUGCAANNNNNNNNNNNNNNNNNNNNNNNNNNNNNNNNNNNNNNNNNNNNNNNNNNNNNNNNNNNNNNNNNNNNNNNNNNNNNNNNNUUACUUUUUCAUAAACUUUAAUCAAACAAAGAACAUUAUUUUUCUCUUUCUCUUCAUGACAUAUCAAGAUAUACUUUCUUUCACACAACAUAAAAUACUUUUCUUUUCACAUGUAUUUUUUUUAUAUUUUUUAUAAUAACAUGUUUUAUUUAUAUAUUUAAUAUACAUACAUCUUUACAUAAUUUUAAACAUUUAUAUUAUUUUAUAUUUAAUACAUACACUUCUACAUUAUUUUUUAUACCUCCUCCUUCUUUGAAAAAUUUAGUCUAGCCGGGUAUCACACUUGUGGAUUCUGAAGGAUGUCCAACCCCUUCCCUUCGGAAUAACUUGAACCCUUACCUAGAAUCUCAAUUGGUUUUUCGCAGACUAAAACACUAAUGACAUGUUAAUACUUCAAUAGGUUUCCUUAUUUUCCUUAAAACUUAGGUGGCGACUCUGUGCAAAUUUUCAUUCUUUUAGAGUCCAUAACAUCGUGCUUGUUUUAACCUCAGGUAAAAAUAGGGUACCCCAAUAUAAAUAAAUAUUUUUUUUAUAAAAAUAAAUAAAUCUUACCCCAACUCCCAUCUCUCCCUCCUCCCUCCUCCCCNNNNNNNNNNNNNNNNNNNNNNNNNNNNNNNNNNNCUUAAAUUAACUUUCUUUUUUUAAAAUUAUUUUUUUACCUCAACUCCCAUCCCUUCCCUGUCCCCGCACCCCACACCCCACAAUUUUUUUUUUAAAUAUCUUUUUUUUUAAAAAAAAAUCUUACCCCAACCCCCAUCACCCCCUAACCCCCUCCCCCUAUGGCAUACCACUUUCCAAAAAGUUAUUCUUAUUUUUCUAAAAAAACUCUUACCUCACCCCCAUCCCCCCCCCACUCCCUACUCACCCAUCAAACUUUUCAGGCCCAUUGAAAUUUAUUUUCUUAAGUUGGGUUUACAAGGAUAAAUAUCAAUACGUUAAUUUUUUUGGACUAAGCGGGUCAUGACCGAACCCGAUAUCAACCCAAUCUAUUUGAACCUGAAGUAAAGUUGAGUGGGUUACGACCCAACCCAAUAUCAAAUUCAACUUAUUUAAUAUCUUCAAUCUCAACCCAACCCGCCCAUUUGACACCCCUAUAUAAUUAUGAGUUUAGUUAUGAUCAUUCUAACGAUUGUUAUAGUUAAAAGUCUCAGUGGGAGAUUAUUGGGGUAUAUACCUUUAACUAUGAGUUUAGAUAUGGUAUAUUCUAUCAAUUGUUAUGGUUAAAAAUCUAAGCAGGAGAUUGUUGGGAUAUAUACUAUUAAUCAUGCGUUUUAGAUUUAGUAUUUAUUACAACAAAAUUAUUUAUUUUAUUUUAUUAAAAAAUUAAACAAAUCAUAUAUUCGGCUUAAAGUCAUGUCCUAGGGUGCUAGGGGUGGGGUCGGGGCCAGGUGUUGGGUUAAAUUUUAGAUGUGGAGGGUGUGGUGUUAGGAGAGGGGGACUCGAGAGAUGAUAAGUUGAGGGUAGGGUCGUGGAAUAUAGGGACCUCUUAGACUAAGUCGAUAGAGCUGGUAAAAAUUCUCAAGAAGAGAAGGAUCAAUAUUACGUGUGUCCAGGAGACCAAAUGGGUAGGUUCUAAGGCUAGAGAUGUGGAUGAGUACAAGUUGUGGUACUUAGGUAGUGAGAGACGCAUGAAUAGAGUAGGUAUCUUAGUGGACGAAGAGCUUAGGGGGCAGGUAGUGGAAGUUAAUAGGUUUAGUGAUAGGGUGAUGACUAUUAAGUUUGUCAUUGAGGGGUUUUCGUUGUGCGUCUAUAGUGCGUACGUGCCUAAGGUGGGCCUGGACGAGGAGGAGAAGAGGAGAUUUUGGAUGACGUGGUAUGAGGCGUGCCUAGCUCGGAGAAGAUUUUCAUAGGAGGGGACUUCAAUGGGCAUAUCGGGUCUUUCUCGUUAGGGUAUAAUGAUGUGCAUGGAGACUUUGGUUUUGGGGUUAGAAAUAAGGAGGGAGCUGCUCUUUUGGAUUUUUCGAGGGCCUUUGGGUUGGUGGUUGUGAAUUCCAGCUUUUCGAAGAAGGAGAAGCACCUGGUUACUUUUCGGAGUAGGUUAGCUAAGACCCAGAUUGACUUUUUGAUGCUUAGGAAGGGGGAUAGAGUUUUGUGUAAGGAUUGUAAGGUUUUUCCGAAUGAGAAUCUUGCGACCCAACAUAGACUUUUGGUGAUAGAUUUGGAUAUUAAGAAGGGCAAGAAGAGGAGGGGUGGGGAGGUUCGGUCUAGAGUUAGGUGGGGUGGCCUGACUCCGACCAGUGCUUUGGAUAUAGGGGCAAAGUUGGAGGGGAUAGAGGCGUGGGAGUACAGAGCGGACGUGGACAGUACGUGGGAUAAGGCCGCAGGUUGCAUCAAGGAGACUGCUAGAGAGGUUUUGGGUAUAUCGAAGGGCUGGUCUGGCCGACAUCACGGGGAUUGGUGGUGGAAUGAACAAGUUAAGGAAAAGGUGGAGACGAAGAAGGCGCCAUACGUUAAGUUGGUUGAGAGUAAAUGUCACACCCCUUUUUCGUACUCUAAAAGAUUCGUUUUAAGUUUGAAAAGUUUUUUAUUAUUAAGUGACAAUAGAAAAUGAUUGUUUCGAAAAGGAUUCAUUAGUUUCAAAACUCAGAGUCGCCACUUGGCAUAAAUCGGGUGUGCCAAGUCACCUUUGGAAAAUCCUUUUCAAAAUGGUUUGACUCUUUAAACUGGUUUGCGAAGAGAGAUUCCGGCUAAGGAAUUCUGUUGACCGAGGGAAAGGUGUUAGGAACCCCUCGAUCCCAUGGUUCGACUACGGUCGCUUGGUAGAGCAUAUCAGUUAAUCUAACAUUACGAAUGUAUAAACCACAUAAGACACACAACGAUUUAAACAAAACAAACGAGAAUCCAAAAGUUAAUGUCCAGUCCAAUUAUUACAAAUCCAAAAUAAAAAGGUACAUAAAUGUAAACCUACCCUAAUCCUAAACUACUCUCCAUCCGGUGCCUCGGAUCUUGACUACGAACAUCUUCCGCCAACAUAAUACAUCGGGGCAUUCCCCGGUGAAUAAAUACAAAUGACCACAGGGAAUUCCCCGGCUAAAUGAACACAUUCAAUGAAAUACGAUAAAACUAGAAGAAACUUUCAACACAUAUUUAAACAUUUGACGCAUUCAACAACACUUCACUCCUAAAUUUUGCCUACCCGAAUCUAAAUAUUUUUGCCUAUCCAAUCGGUUGCCUAAUCAUGAUACUAUCACAUUUAACCUUCGUAUUUUGCUCCCAAAUAACCAACGACAAUAAAUCAAGACUAAACAACAUUUAUUUUAUCAAUUCCUACCCUCCAAUCCCCACAUUGCUUUUUCAACACCAAAUUUCAACAAAAUUCAAGAUUACUAAUUUCAACAAUUCACAACCAUCUAUUCAACGAAAUUGAGCAAAACAAAUUCAUAUCACCCAAUAUUUAACCACAUCUCACACAAAUCAAUACAUGUGACAAAAUAAAAUGAGAAGAGAUAGAAUUGGACCUCAACUUGGAUAUUUCAAUAUAACGAAGAUAGAACCACGUCUGAAAUCCUCGAAUCGAACCUCAAUGACGACCAAACUCAACCCCAAACAGUCUCAUACCACUCGACAUCGCAAAAUAAAUCCCGAAUCAAAACAAAAAAGACAAAGAUAACAUUAAUAUGACCCAUUAAGAAAGAAUGAGACCAACCACUGAAAAUUUUUGCCCGAUUAACGAUAUUUUUGGUGGGAUCUGAGUGGUGUUGGUGGGUUUGGGGUUCGGACAACGAUGGUUUGGGGCCUUUUAGGCGAUGGUGCAAUGAAGGAGUGACCGACGAUGCUUUCCGAUUGAGAUUCCGAUGAUGGUUCGUUGGAAAAACUUCCCCUCGCCGAUUUCCUCACUCCUUCACUCUCUCUCUUUCGUUGUUUCUGAUUUUGAUCUCUUUUCUCUUUUAUACUAUCUCCCUCAGAUUCAUUUCUUACUUCUCUCACGUCUUUCUUUCUCUUCGCGUAUGGUGGUGUAUAUGAGAAUUGAGAGGUAUAUGUGUGUGCAGUGCGUAAGGGUAAGAAUUGUGAGGGUGAGCUUUUAUGAGUGAUAUUAUGUGUGUCUAGAAUUCUUAAUGUAUGAUUGAUGAUGGAAGGUCCCAGAAAUAGAGGUGGCAAUUUCGUGCCUUUCCAGUGAGGCCCCCUCUGUUUUGGUUAUGGAUUUGUCCUCCUCUAUGUGUAUGAAUUGGAGAAAUAUGAAGUUAAGUGGUGGGGCCCCUUUAUUUGGAAUCUUUUUAGUUUGUUACUAAAUUGGAAUUGGUCAGGGAAGAGUACUCACUGUGAGACCUCUUUUUUUUGUUUUCUUGUUUUUCCUUUAUUCCUUUAUGUAUAUGGAAUUGGUAAAAUGUAUAGAGAAAUCUAGGUAAGGGAGGUCACGUGAGGUGGGGUAGGGUAGGUGGGGCAGUGUAGAUAGUGAGGUGAGGUGUUGCCAUUUGAUAGGGUAGGUUGUUGGUUUGUUAUUUUUCGUCUUUUUGCGAAGGGAUUAUCAUACGGGUAGGGUACGUAGUAGGAUAAGGUAAAAAUGGAUGAAAAUAAUAUCGGGGAGGGACGAAAUUAGGCGUCUACAUCAUGCCCCCUUUGAAUGUAAACACAAAGUAUUUUCAGACAAAGAAGUAGACAAUAAGACAGAAUUUUGUCUCGACCUUUAUUCAAAAGCACGAAGCAAGAGGAAGGAGGGAAAACAGGUCUGGACUUAGGACAUCCUACCUACCCAAGUUAUGAAAGAAACCCAUCACAGGUACUUCCAAAGGAAGGAGAAGGGCUAUACCGAGUUGGAGAGUCGAGUGAGGUUCCAUCGAGGUUCCGAUCCAUGACUCUGUCAUUGUAUCAAAAUGAAAAUUACAAGUUAAAAACAUAAAUGAAAUUACAAAAACCUAUCUACGUAGCUUAUUUUGGACUCUUGACUUGAGUUUCAUCACCCUAUUCUUCAGGCGGGCUCCUAACUUGCAAUUUCUUCAACUUGUUGCUUGCCUUUCAAUUUCUACACCCUGUUCUCCAGGCGAGUUCCUGACUUGCUAUUUCAUCAACUUGUUGCUAUACUUUUCAAUUUCUACACCCUAUUAUCCAGGUGGGUUCUUGACCAAUUUGUUGCUAUGCUUUCAAUUUCUUCACCUUGUUCUCCAGGAGGGUUCCUCACUUGCUAUUUUUCAAUCUGUUUAACUUUUAAUUUCUUCACCUUGUUGCUUGGUUUUUCAUUUAUUCUCCCUGUGCUUUGGGCAGGCUCCUGAAAUCACAUCAAAAUUGGAAAGAAGAUUAUCCCAAACAAAAAUUAUCAAAAAGAGAAAUUUCGUUUGCCAGAAAAGUAAAGUUCCAAAAACAAGAAUUAAAUUUUGCUCCAGUUUAUCAUCAAAGGACUUUUAUGAAAGUCAUAUCAUUAUAGGAAUCAAGGAGAAUGACUCGACUAUAAGGUACGUCUUAUAGGAAUCCAAGGAAAUGACUCGACUAAAAGGUACGUCUUCUAGGGGUCAAGGGGAAUGACUCGACUAAAAGGUACAUCUUAUAGGAAUCAAAGGGAGAUGACUUGACUGAAAGGUACUUCUUAUAGGAAUCAAGGGAGAUGACUCGACUAAAAGGUAUGUCUUAUAGGAAUCAAAGGGAAUGACUUGACUAAAAGGUACAUCUCAUAGGAAUCAAGGGAGAUGACUCGACUAAAAGGUACGUCUUAUAGAAAUCAAGGGGAAUGAAUCGACUAAAAGGUACGUCUUAUAGGAAUCAAGGGAGUUGAAUCGAUGAAAAGGUACGUCUUAUAGGAAUCAAAGGGGAUGACUCGACUAAAAGGUUCGUCUUUUAAGAAUCAAGGGGGAUGACUCGACUAAAAGGUAUGCCUUAUAGGAAUCAAGGGGGAUGACUCGACUAAAAGGUUCGUCUUCUAGGAAUCAAAGGAACGACUCAACUAAAAGGUACAUCUUCUAGGGGUCAAGGGGAAUGACUCGACUAAAAGGUACGUCUUAUGGGAAUUAAAGGAAAAACUCGACUAAAAGGUACGUCUUAUAGGAAUCAAGGGUGAUGACUCGACUAAAAGGUACGUUUUCUAGGAAUCAAAGAAAUGACUCAACUAAAAGAUACAUCUUCUAGGGGUCAAGGGGAAUGACUCGACUAAAAAGUACGUCUUAUAGGAAUCAAAGGAACGACUUGACUAAAAAGUAUGUCUUAUAGGAAUCAAGGGAGUUGACUCGACUAAAAGGUACGUCUUAUAGGAAUCAAAAGAGAUGACUUGACUAAAAGGUACGUCUUAUAGGAAUCAAAGGAAAAACUCGAUUAAAAGGUACGUCUUAUAGGAAUCAAGAAGGAUGGAUGACUCGACUAAAAGGUACAUCUUAUAGGAAUCAAGAGGAAUGACUCAACUAAAAGGUAUGUCUUAUAGGAAUCAAAGGGAAUGACUCAACUAAAAGGUACAUCUUAUAGGAAUCAAAGGGAACGACUCGACUAAAAGGUAUGUCUUCUAGGGGUCAAGGCGAAUGACUCAACUAAAAGGUACGUCUUCUAGGGGUUAAGGAGAAUGACUCGACCAAAAGGUACAUCUUCUAGGGGUCAAAGGGAAUGAUUUGACUAGAAGGUACGUCUUCUAGGCGUGAAGGUUCAAUUUAAGAAGUGUAUCACCCAACAAAUGAAAAUUGAAACCCCUGGACAAGAAAGUGUUUCUCCGGGGGAUAUAAGAUGAUGAAUUUUACCAUAAUUUGACUAUCAAACCUGUGCAGCAACAUUGCUUCCUGCAUUUGUAAAAGUGAGGCAUUGCAGCCCUUGAUAUUUAUACUCUGAAGUCCUUAACUUGAAGGUAAUAUAUUUCCUGUUUCAUCAAAGAAAACUUGUGAGUUUAAAACAUGGUGGUUGGUUUGUGGCUUUAGCUUUCACGACGAUCGCUCUUGCCUUUGUCACAUUUAACCUUGCUUCCAACUAUUAGCCUAUGUCAUUGACUUGCUGCUUCAUUGACCAAACUCCGAUUUAUUAAAGGUGACUCUGAAACAAACACAGUAUCUCUGCUUUGCCAUGGUCCUCAGAUAAACCCUUUGAACCUUGGUAUCUCCAUGAGUUCCCAGACUCAUCAGCUGACAAAACUUUUUGCAUGCCUUAUUUUGGCUCACAAUCAUGUCUCUUUCAUAUGCUAGCUUUGUCUUGAUUUGUGCAAUUAAAGAAGAUGGUAGCUAGUUUUAAAAAAUUUUCUCUCUUGUUUCGACACGGACUCGACUCACAGACAAGAGAAAAAAUAACAAUGAUUUUAUUUGGAUAAUUUACUUAAUAAAAUAAAAAUAAAAAUAAAGAGAAGAAAGAAAAUACAAUGAAUGUCCCCAUUUGAAACAACGAAAUGAAAAAUUUAUCUAGAAAUGAUAGUCAACUCUAAUGAUUAUGCCAUGCAUUUUGGAUUAAGCUGCCUGAUCUUUCCAUUCAAAAUUUCUACCAAUUAUUGUUAAUGACCUCGAAAUUGAGUUGCUUCCUUAGAUCAAUUGCAUUUAAGACCACAUUUGGCUAGUAACGCCUUGAACAGUUUUUGCCAACGAGCUUCUCUCAUUUUCUUUUUCUCAGGUCACCAUUGCCUUAUGGUGUCUGUGAGGGUUUUUCACUAAUGAGACUCUCUUAUUUUCAUUUGUCUCAACUCACCACCGUCUUACAGUGCCCGUGAGGGUUUUCACCAAUAAGACUCUCAUUUUUAUCUUUCUCAGCUUACAAUCGUCUUACGAUUCUCGUAAAAGUUUUCACCGAGACUUUCUCAUUUUUAUUUCUCUCCUAAUUCCUUAUGCUGAGGAAGACAAGUAGUUCCUAAAAUGCAUCAUCACAUCCAUUGCAUGCUUAGCCUUAACAUUCUCAAAGAUUGAUCUGAAGGUCUUUCUUUGAUUGUAACUUGGUUUUGGAUAGGGUUAGGAAGAAAGGAUAGCAUGAGGCCAAAUGACACCUGAGGUAGGGUAGGACUUAUAAAUUUUGCAAUCGACUCAAAUAAUAAGGAUUAACUCAUGCCACAGUUUCUUUUGACUGGACAAUUCUAAAUUAUUUAUUUGGUUGGACCGAGCUCAGAGUAGGGCAGCCUACGUAUCUCAUCCCUGAGAGAGGAGAAUCAGGUCACGCGUAGUUCUGGCAGCUUGUUCUUUUGCUUGAUUCUGAUUUUUUUUCUUUUGUUGAUUUUUUUUCUCUUUGGGACUUUUCUGACUUUAUUUUUCUCGACGCUCCAAAUGGGAUAAACAAAGGAUGACACAACGUUUGGAUAACAGAAUGAAAUGCCUUCGUCAUAUCAAUCUUUGAAAAUGAAAGUACAUCACAUCCAAUUUCAAAGUUGGAGAUAAAGAUCAUGUGCAUCAUCUUUUACAACAUUAACUUUGACUAAGUCUGUGUGUCACUACUUCUUCUGCUCUUUUCUAGCAUACAACUCCACUUUUGUUGUAAAUUUCUUACAUUGAAUGACUCAUGAUUUCAUGGACUUGAUUUUCUUUCUGUUUCUCUUGAUAUAAGAUCUCGCAUCCACUGUUUGACCUAAGUGAGGCAUGCUUUACAAUUGAUGACCAAGUUAUUCUGGUGAUUCUCAAAACAAUUGCCUUAAUUUUGAAAGAAGGUUUCAACAUGGUCACCAAAUGUCUUAACACGCUACCUAUUUCUCACAUGCUUUUUCAAACUUUAGCCCUCUGAUUCAAAGUUCAUGAUCAAAUUAGAUUUUAAGAUCUAGCGAAGAAUUCCGCCAGCAUGUCAUAUCAUUAAAGCCAACAUAAAAUGUACUAUGUAAAGAAAACAAACAAAUAACAUAUAUUUAAAUACAAAGGAAAAAGAGACACUCUAUUUAGUUGAAAUAAAAGAUAGAAAAGGUUUGACGAUAAACGAUAAAAGGGACAAAACAAGAUAGAUCCCGAACUACCACCCUAAAAUAAUUCGAAUAACAGAAAAGAAAAUAAAACAAACUACCAGACCUCUUCCUAGUAGGGAGAGGGGUGACUUCUCAAUUGCUUAGCCUGACAUAUUAGCCACUGAUUUGCAUAUCAGCAUGACUAGAGCUUCCACCACUGUCAGACACAUUUCCUUCAACAAAUAAGUUCUGGAUCUCUAUGCUUAACUCAUUGCCUCCCACAUAUUGUGCAGUACCGCGUGCUGGUGAAGAACUCUGUGGGAUGGUUGAGGGGCCAAUGUUUUGCACUACAAUCAAUUUAUCUUGAAUCAUCUUUUCUAUUUCUCUUUUCAAAGUACAAUAAUCUUCAGUACUAUAACCCUGAACAUUAGAAUGAUAUGCAUACCAUACAUUAGAAUUAAAAUUUCUUGAAUGUGGGUCAGGUAUAUACCUAAGGAGAGGAGUAAUCAUGCCUCUAUGUUUCAAUCUCUGGAACAAACUGGCAUAGGACUCCCCAAUAGAAGUGAAAUUAUCCUUUUCUUUCCUUCUCUUUGCGAACUCUGGCCUCGGAUGAAACUUGAAUUUAGAGGUUCCUUGGUAAAUUUGUGGGGGUCGAGGACGAUGUUGAGGGACAGGUGCAUGCCAUUGUGGAUAAGAAGACGGAUGGGUACACAAUUGUGCAUUGUUCAAAGGAUAUUGAGAAAGUGGAAUGGAACUCCUUGGAUUUUAAAAAGAGGAACCUUAUUGCAGAUGAAUAAGUGGAUUUGAUAUGUAAGCUCAGGAUUGAGACUGAUAGCAUUGGUGAGUUGGGCCUCUCAAACUUGCUUUGGCCCAGGCACGACAACAAAUAUGUUUUCCUUCUUCUUUCUUUCAAUUUCCCUUGAAUGAUUGCAAUAUCAGCCCAAAUGUUUCACAGAAUUAUUCUGUCCACCAAGCUCCUCAAAUUUUGAUAUCUCAAAGCUUGGAGGAAGGUUAACACUUGAAAACAUGCCCCAGUUUUUAUAUGAAACAUCUUCAUAGCCUACAAGUCCCAAGGAACUUUUCAUAUCAUUUUCUACACUCUUAUCUUUCCCAACUAUUUUCUCUAGGUCUUCUAGCAUGCUAGGCUUCUUAGUAAGAAAUUUUGGCGGUCCACUUAACUUAACUGUAGGCUCAAGAUUAUAACAAUAAUCAUCACGAGUAUUGAACGUGGAUUCACUAGUGGACUGGGGAAGCACAAUCGUUGGAUUGAUAGCCAAAGUAGAAGCAUUAAUAGAAGGUUGAGCAACAAAAGCACAAAUGGUAUGUGGUGAUGUGAAUGUGGUAGACUCAUACUGAGGAGCUAAAGAAAGAGUGGUGGAAGUAUUGAGGUGCAUUUGACGUGGAAUGGAUUCUGAGGCAUGCUGUGGUGCAUCAAUCAUAUUUGGAAACUGACUUUGUGAUUUUGGUAGAAGACUCAAGGUAUUUACAGGGUCAAAAGUGGGGAACUGAGGUAGCGGCAGCCCACUGGCCCAAGCUCGGUACAUUUUCAUCAUUUGUUGUCUCAGUCUCAAAUUCUCUUCUUUUAAACUUUCAAUUUCCCGACUCUUUGUUUCAUCUAUGAUGCCACUCUUUAUAUCCUUGUUGGACACAACUAACCCUUCCUUAAAUUUGGUGUGAUAUGGAGGACCAGCUAGGAAGCCACAAACCAACCACCUUAAACUAACUGAACAAGAGGCAACAAAUAUGUUAGAGUUCAACACUUUUUCAAAACCUCUUUUUCCUUUUUUUUCUUUUUUUCUUUUUUGAAAAGAUCACCGAAUCCAAGAAGGGCGCCUAAGUAUCUCACUCCCGAGAGAGGAGAAUCAGGUGUGCGUAGUUCGUGAAGUCUUGCCAAAAUGGCCAAUCAAACUCUUUUUUUUCUUUUUCUUGAAACUUUAUGAAGAAAACAAAAUAAGAAAUUGUCAAAAGAAUUGACGAAAAUCUUUUUGAAUUUUUCAGGUUAAACAUCCCUAUACAAAGUGAAACCUAUGAUUACCAAAGAAAAUCUUUUGGGUUUUCAGUUUUAAAUUACAUAUGAAAAUGGAACUUGAAUCUAUUAAAGAAAAAUCUUUUUGUAGUUUUCUUUUAGAGAUGUAUAUGAAACACCUACUCUAAGUGAAGAGUGAAGAAAAUCUUUUUGAAUUUCUUAAAUACAAUCCCCGAACCAACAAUAGGCAGCCUAUAUAUCUCACAUCCUGAAAGAAGAGAAUCAGGGGUGCGUAGUUUGUCUAGAUUGGAUAAUUAAUGAUUAAAUAACAAGCUAGACCCUGACUUAAGAGAUACGACUAAAGGCAGACGAUGAACCACGUUAAUAAAAUCUUUUGAGUUUUUAUUUUGACACUUCACAAAAAAAUGGCAUCAACAACUAUAAAAGAAAAAUCUAUUUGGUAUUUUCGUUAUAUGAAAUGUAUAAAAUUUCUACAAUCUUUUUUUGCAUUUUUCUUUUAUAAAAAACUCCUAUGAAUGAAAAAUCUUUUUCGAAGUUUUUGAAUUGUGAAUGCAUGCUAAAAGAGACAAAGAAAAAUCUUUUUGAUGUUUUUGUUUUUGAGAAAUGAGUUCAAAAGGUAAAAAUCUUUUUGAAUUUUUGGAUUGUGAGGAACAAAAGCCAUACAAAAAACUCUAAAAAAAACUAUGAAACACUUUUUUUUCGAUUUGCCUUUUCUCUUUUUUUUUUUAUUUUUUUAUUUUUCAUGCCCACACACUUUACUUCUAACACAUGCUUUCCCCCACACCAGUCUGUUAAAUGACCACGUUACCCUCAAAGAUGCAACAUUUAGCACAUAGGGAUGCUUUAGAGGUGAGUCUCCUACAAAGGACCAAGUGGAUCCUGCUAGGUCUUAAUAUGAUGCAAAUAAGCAUGACCUAAAGCUGACCUAUGUUGGGGUUCACUAAUAAGGCUGUUCGGGGAAACAUAUGGUCGAUAGUGGCUGCUUUGGCUGUCCACCUACUCCAUACCAGCCGACGACUCCCCCUCCUAAAAUACGGGUGACUCAACUAUAGGUCGCGUACACAGCGUGUACUACAGAACUUGUUGCAGAAAGAAUGACUCGGGUUAUCCACAUGAUGUCAGAUAUAAAGCGGUAACACAUAAGAUAAAAACUGUAAACAAAGAGCACGUAGGCACUCAACAAUGAUAAAAUAAACAACAAACGAUAACACAAACAAUGUUUACACACCCAUAAUGUCAAAAUAAGCCGAUACAACUCCAAAAAAAUAAGCUUGAAUUCUGAAAAGGUUUCCCAGCAUAGUUGCCAGAGUUGUCACACCCAUUUUUCAUACUCCAAAAGAUUCAUUUUAAGUUCGAAAGGGUUUUUAUUAUUAAGUGACAAAAGAAAAUGAUUGUUUUGUAAAGGAUUCAUUAGUUUCAAAACUCAGAGUUGACACUUGGCAUAAAUUGGGUGUGCCAAGUCAUCAUUGAAAAAUCCUUUUCAAAAUGAUUUGACUCUUUAAACUGGUUUGCGAACAGAGAUUUCUUCUAAGAAAUUGUGUUGAUCGAGGGGAAGGUGUUAGGCACCCCUUGAUCCCGUGGUUUAACCACGGUCGCUUGGUGGUGCAUAUCGGCUAAUUUGACAUUACGAAUGUAUAAACCACAUAAGACACACAACAAUUUAAACAAAACAAACAGGAAUCCAAAAGUUAAUGUCUAGUCCAAUUAUUACAAACCCAAAAUAAAAAGGUACAUAAAUGUAAACCUACACUAAUCCUAAACUACGCUCCAUCCGGUGCCUCGGAUCUUCACCAUGAAUAUCUUCUGCCAACAUAAUACGUCGGGGCAUUCCCCGGUGAAUAAAUAUAGAUGACCACGGGGCAUUCCCCGGCUAAAUGAACACAUUCAAUGAAAUACGAUAAAACUAGAAGAAACUUUCAACACAUAUUUAAACAGUUGACGCAUUCAACAACACAUCAAUCCUAAAUUUUGCCUACCCGAACCUAAACAUUUUUGCCUAUCCAAUCGGUUGCCUAAUCAUAUUACUAUCACAUUUAACCUUCGUAUUUUUCUCCCAAAUAACCAAUGAUUAUAAAUCAAGACUAAAAAAUAUUCAUUUUAUCAAUUCCUACCCUCCAAUCCCCACACUCCUUUUUCAACACCAAAUUUCAACAAAAUUCAAGAUUACUAAUUUCAAUAAUUCACAACCAACUAUUCAACGAAAUUGAGCAAAAAAAAUUCAUAUCACCCAAUAUUUAACUAUAUCUCACACAAAUCAACACAUAUGACGAAAUAAAAUGAGAAGAGAUAGAAUUGGACCUCAACUUGGAGAUUUCAAUAUAACAGAGAUAGAACCGCAUCUAAAAUCCUCAAAUCAAACCUUAACGACGACCAAACUCGACCCCAAACAGUCUCAUAACACUCGACAUUGCAAAACAAAGCCCAAAUCUAGCCGAAAUCAAAACAAAAAAGAUGGAGAUAACAUUGAUAUGACCCAUUGAGAAUGAAUGAGACCAAUCACUGAAAUUUUUGCUAGAUUAACAAUAUUUUUGGUGGGAUAUGGGUGGUAUUGGUGGGUUUGGGGUUUGAACAAUGAUGGUUUGGCCCCUUUUCGGCGAUGGUGCGAUGAAGUAGUGACCGACGAUGCUUUCCGAUUGAGAUUCCGAUGAUGGUUCAUCGAAAAAACUUGUCCUUGCUGAUUUCCUUACUCCUUCACUCUCUCUCUCUUUUUCCAUUUCUGAUUUUGAUCUCUUUUCCUUUUUCUACUAUCUCCCUCAUGUUCGUCUUUUUCUGCUCUCACGUCUCCCUCUCUCUCCACGUAUGGUGGUGUAAAUGAGAAUUGAGAGGUAUAUGUGUGUGCAGUGCGUGAGGGUAAGAAUUAUGAGGGUGAGCUUUUGUGAGUGAGAUUAUGUGUGUCUAGAAUUCUGAGAGUGUGAUUGAUGAUGGAAGAUCCAAGAAAUGAAGGUGGCAAUUUCGUGCCUUUCCAGUGAGCCCCCCUCUGUUUUGGUUAUGGAUCUGUCCUCCUCUAUGUGUAUGAAUUAGAUAAAUAUGAAGUUAAGUAGUGGGGCCCCUUUAUUUGGAAUCUUUUUAGUUUGUUACUGAAUUGAAAUUGGUCAUGAAAGAGUAUUCACUGUGGGCCCUCUUUUUUUUGUUUUUUUUGUUUUUCCUUUAAUCCUUUGUCUAUAUGGAAUUGGUAAAAUGUAUAAAGAAAGCUAGGUAAGAGAGGUAACAUAAGGUGGGGUGGGGUAGGUGGGAUAGUUUAGGUAGUGAGGUAAGGUGUUGCCAUUUGAUAGGGUAGGUUGUUGGUUUGUUAUUUUUUGUCUUUUUGUGAAGGAAUUAACAUACGGGGUAGGGUACGCAGUAGGAUAUGGUAAAAAUGGGUGAAAAUAAUAUCGGGUAGGGACGACAUUAGGUGUCUAUAGUAAAGAUGAAGAGAAUAAAUGGGUGAGCAAGGAGGAGUACAAGUUAGCUAAGAAGGAGGCUAAGUUAGCAGUUUUUGAGAAACUUUAUUCGGGUUUAGAGGAGAGAGGUGGGGAAAAGAGAUUAUAUAGGCUUGCUAAAGCUAGAGAGCAUAAGGGUCGGGAUUUAGACCAAGUGAAAUGCAUUAAGGGAGAGAAUAACAGAGUUUUGGUAGAGGACGUUCUAAUUAAUAAAAGAUGGCAGUCAUAUUUUCAUAAGUUCUUGAAUGAUGAGGAGGACAGUGGUAGUGUGUUAGGGGAGUUGGAACACACCGAGGAGUUUUGUGAUUUUAACUAUUGUCGGUAUUUUAAGGUGGAGGAGGUCUGUGAGUCUAUUCAUAAGAUACGAAGGGGCAGAGCAAAGGGGCCCGACGAGAUCCCGGUAAAUUUUUAGAAGUUUGCUAGAGGGGCAGGGUUGAGGUGGUUAAUCGACCUGUUUAACAAUAUUUUUAAGUCCGCUAAGAUGUCCGAGGUGUGGAGAUGGAGCACGAUAAUUCCUUUAUAUAAAAACAAAGGUGACAUUCAAAGUUGUAAUAACUACCGUGGUAUUAAGUUGCUAAGUCACACGAUGAAGAUUUAGGAAAGGGUGGUGAAAGAAGGUUGAGGAAAAUUGUGUCUAUUUUGAAAAAUCAAUUUGGAUUUAUGCCCGGUCACUCGACGCUGAGGCAAUUCACCUAGUGCGGAGGCUGGUAGAGUAGUAUAGAAAGAGGAAGAGGGAUAUCCACAUGGUGUUUAUCAAUUUGGAAAAAACGUAUGACAAAGUUCCUAAGGAGGUCCUUUGGAGGUUUCUAGAGGCAAGGAGAGUCUCAGUGGUGUACAUCCGAUCGAUAAAGGACAUGUAUGAGGGGGAGAAGACUCGGGUAAGGACUGUGAGAGGGGAUUCUAAGCAUUUUUCAAUCUUGAUAGGGUUACACCAGGGAUCGAUUCUUAGUCUAUUUUUAUUCACCGUGGUGAUGGAUGUAUUGACGCAGAGUAUCCAAGGAGAAGUACCUUGGUGUAUCCUUUUUACGGAUGAUGUAGUCUUGAUUGAAAGUCUCGUUGAAGUAUUAAUGAUAAGUUGGAGGUUUGGAGACUAAGUUGGAGGUUUGGAGACAAACCCUGAAAUCUAAAGGUUUUAGGUUGAGUAGGACUAAGAUGGAAUACUUGAAGUGCAAGUUUAGUGAUUCGAGGCAAGAGAAUGAGGUGGUAAUGAAGUUGAAUUCUCAGGUAGUUUGUAAGAGGGAUAGUUUUAGGUAUCUUAGGUUUAUGAUUCAGGGAAAUAAAGAGAUUGAUGAGGAUGUCUCUCACCGUAUUAGGGUAGGUUGGAUGAAAUGGAGGCUCGCUUCAGGAAUUUUAUACGAUAAGAACGUGUCUCCCAAGCUUAAAGGCAAAUUCUAUAGAGUUGCGAUUUGGCCGGUAAUGUUGUAUGGAGUGGAGUGUUGGCCUGUUAAGAAUUCUCACGUCCAAAAAUUGAAGGUGGCAGGGAUAAGGAUGUUGCAUUGGAUAUGUGGAUUUAUGAAAACAAACAGGGUUAGGAAUGAGAUUAUUCAGGAGAAGGUGAGGGUGGCUUCGGUGGAGGAUAAGAUGCGAGAAGUGAGGUUGAGAUGGUUUAAUCAUGUGAUAAGAAGGGGCAUGGAUGCCCCAGUUCGUAGGUGUGAGAGGUUGGCCUUAAAAGGUUUCAAGCGGGGUAGGGGUAGACGUAAGAAGUACUGGAGAGGAGUGAUUAGACGUGACAUGGAGCAAUUAUAGCUUAAUGAGGACAUGACCCACGAUAGAAAGGUAUAGAGGAAAAGUAUUAAGGUAGAAAGCUAAGGUGUGGGGUCGAGUUGUAGUCUAUAGCUAGGAGGGUUUGAUGUAGCUUGGUUGGUAGUUUAAGGAUUGAAGGAGGGGGGGUCCUUAGUUUGUUAUUGUACUUUAUAUUUGUGGAUGUCGUAUCACUGUUAGUUUAUCUUGUUGCUCACUUCCGACUUUUUUUUUGUUACGGUCCUUUGUCUAGAGCCGGAGGUCUAUCGAAAAUAGUCUCUCUACUUUUUCGGAAGCAGUGGUACGGACUGCGUACACUUUACCCUCCCCAGACCCCACUAUGUGGGAAUAUUUUGGGUUUGUUGUUGUUGUUGUUGUAUAUAUUCGGCUAAACAAAUAAAGUGUUCUUAAUCAAAGUUCACAAUAAAAAUGACGCUGAACAAAUAUCUUGAUUGAUUGUGGCACAAAAUUAAAUAUAAUUUAAUCUUGAUUAUAGAAAUGAUCAUAUUCCUACUUUUUGUGUUGGUCACUUUGUAUGUAUUUUAAAUAAAUACAGUUUAGUAUCAGAGAAAUAAAAUACUUAUCGAGUAGAUAUGUGCAAAGAAUGUAACUUUACAUAUCUAAACAUGAUCUAAUUUUAUUGUUAAGUGCUGAAAAAAUUUAUGAAAUCGAAAAUGUAUUAUUUAGGGUGUAUUCGGUAUGGAAGAAAAUAUUUUCUAGGAAAAUAAGUUGCUUCUUACUUAUUUUCUAGGAAAAUAACUUGCUUCUUACUUAUUUUCUUGUGUUCGUUAUGCAAGUAGUAAAAUAAUUUUUAAAAGCAUUUGUUUAUAUUUAACACAAAAACAAUGAGAAGUGACAGGACAAGGGAGGAGGUGGGGUAGGAAAAAUUUAAAAAUGGAAAAGUUUUAUAAAAAUAUUUUUUUAAAAAAAAAAUGGGGGGGUGGGGGUAGGCGUGGGGUAGGGUAAAAAAAAUUUAAAAAAUAAAUUUUAAAAAAUAUAUUUUCUUUUUGGGUUGGGUUGGGGGGAGUUGGUAGGGGUUGGGUAAGAAAUUUUUUUAAAAACUUUUUAAAAUAUAAAUUAAAUUUUUUUUUGGAGAGGCGUGAUGGGGGGUGGGGUUGGGAGAGAAUUUUUUAUUUUGGAAUGGGCGUGGUUAUUUUAUGCUUUGAUUAAGGAAGUCACUUUUCUUACUUUGAAGGUACUUGUUCUUUUAGAAAAAAUAUUUUUCAAAAUUUUUAGUCCUCAAAAAUAUUUUUUAGAAAAUAUUUUCCUUCAUUUCGGACACACCCUUAAUGAAAAGGCAAUCAUUAAAAGUAGAUAAUCAAUAAUCAACAAAUCCAAAUAAAUUUUUAAAUGAAAGGUUCCUCCGUUUAAAAAAUAGUUCAUCCUUAUUGACUUGACACUCUCUUUAAAAAAUAUUAAUUAGUUGUUUAUCUUAUCAUAUUGGUCUUAUUAAUUAUGCUUUUGAACUUUUGGGUUGUGGAUAGAGAAUUCGAGCUUUCCGAAGAAGGAGGAACACCUUAUUACUUUUCAUAGUUCAGUGAUCAAAACUCAGAUUGACUUUUUGCUCCUUAGGAAGAGUGAUAGAGCGCUAUGUAAGGAGUGUAAAGUCAUACUUAGCGAGAACCUUUCAACUUAACAUCGGUUGUUGGUAAUGAACUUGGUAAUCAAUCAGGGCAGAAAAAAGAGAAAUGUGGAGGCUCCAUCCAGGAUUAAGUGGGGUAACUUGACUUUGACUAGUGCUUUGGAGUUGGGGGAGAAGUUGAAGAGUAAGGGGGCUUGGAAGGCUAGAGGGAAUGUGAUUGUAUGUGGGAGAUGAUUGUCAGUUGCAUUCGGGAGACCGCUAGAGAGGUGUUGGGUGUGUCGAGAGAUCGAUCUGGUAUGAUCGAGGGGACUGGUGGUGAAAUGACGAGGUUAAGAGGAAGGUGGAGUUGAAAAAGGUGGCUGAGAAAGGUGGAUUUGAAGAAGGUGGCUUAAACCAAGUUGGUUGAGAGCAAGGAUGAUGAGGAGAGACAAAUGAAUAAGGAGGAAUAUAAAGUAGCUAGAAGAGAGGUUAAGUUAGCAAUAACAGCGGCUAAGUCAUCAGCUUUUGAGAGCUUAUAUGCGGCUCUAGAGGAGAAAGACAGGGAUAAAAAGUUGUUUAGGCUUGCCAAGGACAGAGAAUGGAGGGUUCGUGACCUUGACCAAGUGAAGUGUAUCAAGGGAGAGGAUGGUACUGUGUUGGUUGAGGACGCCCUUAUUAGGAAGAUGUGGCAGUCCUAUUUUCAUAAACUUUUGAACGACGAGGGAGACAAAGGUUUUGUGUUGGGGGACUUAGAGAAAUCUGAGGAGUAUCACGAUUGUGGUUAUUGUAGGUGGAUCGAGGUUGAGGAGGUUAAAGAGGCUAUUCGUAGGAUGCGUCGGGGUAGGGCAACGGGGCUUGAUAAAAUUCCGGUAGAUUUUUGGAAGUGCACUGGCAGGGCAGGUUUGGAGUAGUUGGCAAGGUUGUUUAACAUCAUUUUUAGGGUGGCAAGGAUGCCUGAAACUUGGAGGUGGAGUAAGAUGAUUCCAUUAUAUAAUAACAAUGAAGAUAUCCAGAGUUCCAACUAUAGAGGUAUUAAGCUGUUGAGUUAUACUAUGAAGGUUUGGGAAAUGGUGGUUGAGUUGUGGCUGAGAAAGAUCGUGACUAUCUCUGAGAAUCAGUUUGGUUUCAUGUUUGGUCGCUCGACUAUUGAGGCCAUUCACCUUGUGAGGAGGUUAGUGGAGCAGUUUUGGGAGAGAAAGAAGGAUUUACACAUUGUUUAUUAAUCUGGAGAAGGCAUAUGACAGAGUACCCAGGAAGAUUUUGUGGAGGUUCUUGGAGGCUAGAGGGGUGCCCGUGGCGUACGCUAUGUCGAUUCAGGACAUGUAUGAUGGCGCGAAGACUCGUGUGAGGAUGGUAUGUGGAGAUUCAAAGCCUUUUCUAAUUUUGAUAGGUUUGCACCAGGGAUCGACUCUUAGCUCUUUUUUAUUUACCUUGGUAAUAGAUGUUUUGAUUCGACAUAUUCAAUGGGAGGUGCCUUGGUGAAUGCUAUUUGCUGAUGUGGUUCUAAUUGAUGAGACUCGAGGAAAAGUCAAUGAUAAGUUGGAGAUUUGGAGACAGACUCUGGAGUCUAAAUGAUUUCGGUUAAGCAGGACCAAGACGGAGUACUUAGAGUAUAAGUUUAGUGAUGUGUCGUCGCAGAAGGCUGACGUGGUUGUGAAUCUGGACUCUCAGGCCAUUCAGAAGAGGGAAAGUUUUAAGUAUCUGUGGUCUAUGAUUCAGGGCAAUGGUGAGAUUGACGAGGAUGUCACGUAUCGUAUUGGGGCAGGGGGGUUGAAAUGGAGGCUUGCUUCAAGAGUUUUAUGUGAUAAGAAGGUACCCCUGAAGCUUAAAGGUAAGUUCUACAGAGUAGCAAUCCGACCGACUAUGUUGUAUAGAGCGGAGUGUUGGCCAGUUAAGAACUCUCACAUCUAAAAGUUGAAGGUGGCGGAGAUAAAGAUGCUGCGAUGAAUGUGUGGACAUACCAGGAGAGAUAGAGUGAGGAAUGAGAUUAUUUAAGAGAAGGUGGGAGUGGCUUCGGUGGAGGACAAGAUGUUAGAAGUAAGGUUACGAUGGUUUGGUCACAUGAUAAUGAGGGGCUCUGAUGCUCCAGUGCGAAGGUGUGAGACACUGGCUAUAGAUGAUUUUAGGCAGGAUAGAGGUAGGCCAAAGAAAUAUUAGAAGGAGGUGAUUAGGCAUGGUACGGAACAGUUACAGCUUACAGAGGACAUGAUCCUUGAUAGGAAUGUGUGGAGGACGCGGACUAGGGUAGAGAUUAGGGGGUGGUUUAGGGUAGAGGGUAGAGGAUCCUUGACAGAGUUGUGUCUGAUGUUUCUUGUUCGUGGUGUUGAGUGUUGUCUUUGGUUUAGGAUAGAUAAUUUAUUUGUAUUAUCCUGUGGCUAGAAGUGUUAGUUUAAUUUUGCAUACUGUACUAGUUUACAUGUAUAUAUGUUUUAUGUUUGUUAUAUUGUUGUAGGUCUUGAACUGAGGAUCUAUCAGAAAUAGCCUCUCUACUUCACCUGAGGUAGUGGUAUUGUUUGCGUACACUCUAGCCUCCCCAGACCCCACUAUAUGGGAAUACGCUGGGUAUGUUGUUGUUGAAUUAUGCUUUGAAAAUAUAAAUCUGAGUAUAUACACUUUAUGCAGUCAUUUAAUAAUAGGAGUAACCUUGGAAGAACAUACUAAUAAAAUUCUCUUGAUUUCAUAAAUGAAACAACUAAAUGGAAAUAAAUAUUUUUAAUAAGAGGGAUAAUUAUUUUGAAAUACAGGAAGUAUAACAGAGAAUUAAGGUAUUUGAGAACAGUGAUACGUGUUAUGAGUAUAUAAGAUGUAAACGGGUACAUGUACGUACCAUAUAACAACACUUGAUACAAGAAUUCUUUCUCUAUUAUUGAUAGUUACAAUAAAACAUUCAAGUGUUGUCUAUUCCAUAUGAGACGAUAACAAUAUGCAAAGGCAGAAAAUAAUGAAGUCAAUCAAAAAGUUAGGAACUUUAUAUUAGGAAUAACAUACUCCCUCCGUUUAAAAAAGAAUAACCUAAUUUGGCUUGACACCGAGUUUAAGAAAGUAGGAAGACUUUUAAUUCUUAUGGUCCUAAAUUAAAGUUGUGGCAAAUGUACCAAAAAGCCUUCAAUCUUGUGGUCUUAAGCAUGCCAGGUGUAAAGCUGAAAUUUAAGUAUUGUUAAAAAAGAAAAGGGUCACUCAUUUUAAAAUGAACUAAAAAAAAAGUAGAUCAUUCUUUUUUAAACGGAGAAAGUACAAACCAGUACCCAGAAAAAUAAUACUCAGUAAUAUCAUAUGUUGGGCAUACCAUUUGAGUAGAAAGAGCAUUCAACUGCUUAGGCCAAUUUAAUAUGAAUGUUCUAACACUGCCUACCUCCUCCACCAAUACCUGACCAACCAAAAAUAAAGAAGAUAUCCAUCAAGAAACAGCAAUCACCUAAACUAAGUAGGCGUUUAGACAUGUGAUUGCAUCUCAUUGAUUUGUACCGGAUUGGUUUCAAUCAUUGUGUUUAAUUCCCAGCUUCUUUGGGAAUUUCAAGACUAAACUAGCUUUGAGUACUGCAAAUUUAUAUAGCUGCAGCCACGGGGAUAAAUUCGUCCAUUUACCAACAACCAUAUUACACACGUUUCUUCUGCCCAUGAGAAAUUUCAAUUUAGUGAGUAAAUACAACCUUUAUAUCUAUAUAUGGAGUAAGCAAACAAUAUAUAUAUGGGUUUCAAUGUUGUUUUCGAUAAAAACCCGACUAAUCAGAAUACACCUCUGGAUGGUGAAGAAGUACUUACAUUUCACCAUUAUACAUACAUUGAACGUGCUAUCAAAUAUAUCGGAAUUAAAUUUAGUUACUAUUGUUACGCCUAUGGGUCAUAUCAAGGCCGGAUUUUAUUUAUAUAAGUGGGAAGCUCUCGUUUCAUAGAUUUUAUCAUCAUUUGAAUGAAAUGGGUACGACCAGAGAGAAACGAAUAUAAAUAAUUUCAUAUAUAUUUUAACUAGCUUACAGUUGAAAUGUAUUAGUUGUUGUUAAAUUAGAUUACUUGUGC